GCACAAGCGGUGGAGCAUGUGGAUUAAUUCGAUGCAACGCGAAAAACCUUACCUGGCCUUGACAUGCUACUAACGAAGCAGAGAUGCAUUAGGUGCCCGAAAGGGAAAGUAGACACAGGUGCUGCAUGGCUGUCGUCAGCUCGUGUCGUGAGAUGUUGGGUUAAGUCCCGCAGCGAGCGCAACCCUUGCCAAUAAUUGCCAUCAUUUAGUUGGGCACUUUAUUGGGACUGCCGGUGACAAACCGGAGGAAGGUGGGGAUGACGUCAAGUCCUCAUGGCCCUUAUGGCCAGGGCUUCACACGUAAUACAAUGGUCGGUACAGAGGGUUGCCAACCCGCGAGGGGGAGCCAAUCCCAGAAAGCCGAUCGUAGUCCGGAUUGCAGUCUGCAACUCGACUGCAUGAAGUCGGAAUCGCUAGUAAUCGUGGAUCAGCAUGUCGCGGUGAAUACGUUCCCGGGC
RNAcentral lists this ribosomal RNA (458 nucleotides) under uncultured Methylovorus sp. RNAcentral's name for it is "bacterial SSU rRNA". It matches the Rfam family "Bacterial small subunit ribosomal RNA", at positions 923 to 1379 of the family's 1533-position model. The record is from RNAcentral. Lineage: Bacteria; Pseudomonadati; Pseudomonadota; Betaproteobacteria; Nitrosomonadales; Methylophilaceae.